GAGUUUGAUCAUGGCUCAGAUUGAACGCUGGCGGCAUGCCUAACACAUGCAAGUCGAGCGGCAGCAGGCCCUUCGGGGCGCUGGCGAGCGGCGGACGGGUGAGUAACGCGUGGGAAUCUACCCUUCGGUGGGGGAUAGCCCGGGGAAACCCGGAUUAAUACCGCAUACGCCCUACGGGGGAAAGCGGCCCUCUGAUGCAAGGUCGCGCCGAUGGAUGAGCCCGCGUCUGAUUAGCUUGUUGGUGGGGUAACGGCCUACCAAGGCGACGAUCAGUAGCUGGUCUGAGAGGACGGUCAGCCACACUGGGACUGAGACACGGCCCAGACUCCUACGGGAGGCAGCAGUGGGGAAUAUUGGACAAUGGGGGAAACCCUGAUCCAGCAAUGCCGCGUGGGUGAAGAAGGCCUGCGGGUUGUAAAGCCCUUUCAGCUGGGAGGAAAAGCGUUCGGUUAAUACCCGGACGUAUUGACGUUACCAGCAGAAGAAGCACCGGCUAACUCCGUGCCAGCAGCCGCGGUAAUACGGAGGGUGCAAGUGUUAAUCGGAAUCACUGGGCGUAAAGGGCACGCAGGCGGUUGGAUAAGUCGGGUGUGAAAGCCCCGGGCUCAACCUGGGAAUGGCAUUCGAUACUGUCCAGCUAGAGUCUGGUAGAGGGAAGUGGAAUUUCCGGUGUAGCGGUGAAAUGCGUAGAUAUCGGAAGGAACACCAGUGGCGAAGGCGACUUCCUGGACCAAGACUGACGCUGAGGUGCGAAAGCGUGGGUAGCAAACAGGAUUAGAUACCCUGGUAGUCCACGCCGUAAACGAUGAGAACUAGCCGUUGGACCCAUUUAUGGGUUUAGUGGCGCAACUAACGCAAUAAGUUCUC
Molecule: ribosomal RNA, 867 nt
Filed under: uncultured bacterium
Lineage: Bacteria
Description: bacterial SSU rRNA
Rfam family: Bacterial small subunit ribosomal RNA
Source: RNAcentral